RNAcentral lists this transfer RNA (72 nucleotides) under Methyloprofundus sedimenti. It matches the Rfam family "tRNA". Rfam says of the family: Transfer RNA (tRNA) molecules are approximately 80 nucleotides in length. Lineage: Bacteria; Pseudomonadati; Pseudomonadota; Gammaproteobacteria; Methylococcales; Methylococcaceae. The record is from Rfam by way of RNAcentral.
GGGGCCAUAGCUCAGCUGGGAGAGCGCCUGCCUUGCACGCAGGAGGUCGGAGUUCGAUCCUCCCUGGCUCCA